Molecule: long non-coding RNA, 455 nt
Organism: Linepithema humile (Argentine ant)
Lineage: Eukaryota; Metazoa; Arthropoda; Insecta; Hymenoptera; Formicidae
Source: RefSeq, a predicted model, not a curated record
CGGCCGGUCUGUGCGGAAGCAUUGUGUUACACAUAUAUAGGUGAUAUAUAGUGAAAUAUUAUUAUGGAACAUUCAAUGCAACCAACAGCAACGACGUCGACGGUGGCAUCAAUAUUAAUGCCAUCGGCAUCAACAAUAACAUCGUCGGCGUCGGCGAAGGACCGGCGUUGGUGGAGGAAUCGGAAUCGGCGGAGGUACUGGUGUCGGCGAAGGCACCGGCGUCGGUGGAAGCACCGGAGUCAGCGGAGGUGCUGGCACCGGCACCGGCGUCGGCGGAAGCACCGGAGUCAGCGGAGAUGCUGGCAUCGGCAAAGGCACCGGCACCGGCAUCGGCAGAAGCUCCAACGUCGGCAGUGACACCGGCAUCAGCGUCAAUAACAUUAAAUCAAGAACAACUUAUAGCAGUUAUUAAUUCUGCUGUACAAGCAAUAUUAAGAGGACGGGGAGGACGUGGG